RNAcentral lists this ribosomal RNA (427 nucleotides) under uncultured bacterium. RNAcentral describes it as "bacterial SSU rRNA". It matches the Rfam family "Bacterial small subunit ribosomal RNA", at positions 355 to 774 of the family's 1533-position model. The record is from RNAcentral.
UGGGGAAUUUUGGACAAUGGGCGCAAGCCUGAUCCAGCAAUGCCGCGUGCAGGAUGAAGGCCUUCGGGUUGUAAACUGCUUUUGUACGGAACGAAAAAGCUCUCUCUAAUACAGGGGGUGAAUGACGGUACCGUAAGAAUAAGCACCGGCUAACUACGUGCCAGCAGCCGCGGUAAUACGUAGGGUGCAAGCGUUAAUCGGAAUCACUGGGCGUAAAGGGUGCGUAGGCGGGUUUCUAAGUCAGAGGUGAAAGCCUGGAGCUCAACUCCAGAACUGCCUUUGAUACUGGAAGUCUUGAGUUCGGGAGAGGUGAGUGGAACUGCGAGUGUAGAGGUGAAAUUCGUAGAUAUUCGCAAGAACACCAGUGGCGAAGGCGGCUCACUGGCCCGAUACUGACGCUGAGGCACGAAAGCGUGGGGAGCAAACA